RNAcentral lists this ribosomal RNA (253 nucleotides) under uncultured bacterium. RNAcentral's name for it is "partial 16S ribosomal RNA". It matches the Rfam family "Bacterial small subunit ribosomal RNA", at positions 524 to 776 of the family's 1533-position model. The record is from RNAcentral.
UACGGAGGGAGCUAGCGUUGUUCGGAAUUACUGGGCGUAAAGCGCACGUAGGCGGCUUUGUAAGUUAGAGGUGAAAGCCCGGGGCUCAACCCCGGAAUUGCCUUUAAGACUGCAUCGCUUGAAUCCGGGAGAGGUGAGUGGAAUUCCGAGUGUAGAGGUGAAAUUCGUAGAUAUUCGGAAGAACACCGGUGGCGAAGGCGGCUCACUGGACCGGUAUUGACGCUGAGGUGCGAAAGCGUGGGGAGCAAACAGG